Molecule: ribosomal RNA, 194 nt
Filed under: uncultured bacterium
Lineage: Bacteria
Description: partial 16S ribosomal RNA
Rfam family: Bacterial small subunit ribosomal RNA
Source: RNAcentral
CCAAUACGGGAGGCAGCAGUGAGGAAUAUUGGUCAAUGGGCGAGAGCCUGAACCAGCCAAGUCGCGUGAAGGAUGACUGUCUUAUGGAUUGUAAACUUCUUUUAUACGGGAAUAAAAAAGGGACGUGUCCCUUAUUGUAUGUACCUUCAGAAAAAGGACCGGCUAAUUCCGUGCCAGCAGCCGCGGUAAUUUGG